GGCGGAUGUAGCCAAGUGGAUCAAGG
This 26-nucleotide non-coding RNA is filed under the name Gallus gallus (chicken). The record is from RNAcentral. Lineage: Eukaryota; Metazoa; Chordata; Aves; Galliformes; Phasianidae. RNAcentral also lists the same sequence under 35 other names.